This 699-nucleotide ribosomal RNA is filed under the name uncultured bacterium. RNAcentral's name for it is "bacterial SSU rRNA". It matches the Rfam family "Bacterial small subunit ribosomal RNA", at positions 37 to 783 of the family's 1533-position model. The record is from RNAcentral.
UGGCGUCGGGCUACACAUGCAAGUCGAGCGCGCCUUUCGGGGUGAGCGGCGGACGGGUUAGUAACGCUGUGGGAAUAUACCCUUUGGUACGGAAUAGCCUCUGGAAACGGAGAGUAAUACCGUAUGAGCCCUUCGGAGGAAAGAUUUAUCGCCAAAGGAUUAGCCCGCGUUAGAUUAGGUAGUUGGUGGGGUAAUGGCCUACCAAGCCUACGAUCUAUAGCUGGUUUUAGAGGAUGAUCAGCAACACUGGGACUGAGACACGGCCCAGACUCCUACGGGAGGCAGCAGUGGGGAAUCUUGGACAAUGGGGGCAACCCUGAUCCAGCCAUGCCGCGUGAGUGAUGAAGGCCUUAGGGUCGUAAAGCUCUUUCGCCUGUGAAGAUAAUGACGGUAGCAGGUAAAGAAACCCCGGCUAACUCCGUGCCAGCAGCCGCGGUAAUACGGAGGGGGUUAGCGUUGUUCGGAAUUACUGGGCGUAAAGCGCACGUAGGCGGACCAGAAAGUUGGGGGUGAAAUCCCGGGGCUCAACCCCGGAACUGCCUCCAAAACUAUUGGUCUAGAGUUCGAGAGAGGUGAGUGGAAUUCCGAGUGUAGAGGUGAAAUUCGUAGAUAUUCGGAGGAACACCAGUGGCGAAGGCGGCUCACUGGCUCGAUACUGACGCUGAGGUGCGAAAGUGUGGGGAGCAAACAGGAUUAGAU